ACGCGAAUGGCACAUGCACGGCACACGUGCAUGGGACACGCACGGCACACGCAAGGAACACAUGCAUGGCAUGCAAACGGCACACAUGCAUGCCACACGUGCACAGCAUACAUGCAAAUGGCACACGUGUACGGUGCACACGAAUGGCACAUGCGCAUGGUACACACAAAUGGCACACGCACGGCAAGUGCAUGGCACACGCGCAUGGCACACACAAAACGGCACAUGCAAAUGGCACACACACGGCACACACAAUACACACGGAAACGGCAUAGUGAUGGGACCUCUCUGGGAGAAUGGGCACACAGCAGCCCUGCCUCCAAGGCUGGCCUUUUCUCAGGGUGUUUGUUGAGCCCUGGGGCUAACACAGCCCCCUGAGCCUGGCAGUGGGGCCUCAGCUCCCUUGGAGUUAGGUGCACCCACCUCAGCUGUGUCCCUGGGGUGAGGGCCCUCCCCACCCUCACUGGGUGCCCCUGUGUCCCCCUGCAGGAAAUCAGGCACCCAGUGCACCCCAGCGUCUCCCUCCUGGGAGGCUGUGUGAUUUAUUAACGUUGGAAGACAUCACAUAGAUUGCACUC
Molecule: long non-coding RNA, 578 nt
Filed under: Homo sapiens (human)
Lineage: Eukaryota; Metazoa; Chordata; Mammalia; Primates; Hominidae
Description: HSALNT0000374
Source: RNAcentral